GAUGAACGCUGGCGGCGUGCUUAACACAUGCAAGUCGAACGGAAAGGCCGAAGCUUGCUUCGGUACUCGAGUGGCGAACGGGUGAGUAACACGUGGGUGAUCUGCCCUGUACUUCGGGAUAAGCUUGGGAAACUGGGUCUAAUACCGGAUAUGACGAUCUCUUGGAUGGGGUUGUGGAAAGCUUUUGCGGUAUGGGAUGAGCUCGCGGCCUAUCAGCUUGUUGGUGGGGUAAUGGCCUACCAAGGCGUCGACGGGUAGCCGGCCUGAGAGGGUGUACGGCCCCUUUGGGCUUGGGAUCCGGCCAAGCUUCCUCCGGGGGGAACCGUUGGGAAUUAUUGCCCAAUGGCGCAAGCCUGAUGCAGCGACGCCGCGUGGGGGAUGACGGCCUUCGGGUUGUAAACUCCUUUCGCAAUCGACGAAGCCUUUUGGUGACGGUAGGUUGAGAAGAAGCACCGGCUAACUACGUG
RNAcentral lists this ribosomal RNA (467 nucleotides) under uncultured bacterium. RNAcentral describes it as "partial 16S ribosomal RNA". It matches the Rfam family "Bacterial small subunit ribosomal RNA", at positions 28 to 507 of the family's 1533-position model. The record is from RNAcentral.